Molecule: ribosomal RNA, 492 nt
Filed under: uncultured bacterium
Lineage: Bacteria
Description: partial 16S ribosomal RNA
Rfam family: Bacterial small subunit ribosomal RNA
Source: RNAcentral
GUUGAACGCUGGCGGCAUGCUUUACACAUGCAAGUCGAACGGUAACAGGCCUUCGGGUGCUGACGAGUGGCGAACGGGUGAGUAAUGCAUCGGAACGUGCCCAGAGGUGGGGGAUAACGCAGCGAAAGCUGUGCUAAUACCGCAUGUGAUCUGAGGAUGAAAGCGGGGGACCAGGCAGCAAUGUUUGGCCUCGCGCCUUUGGACCGGCCGAUGUCAGAUUAGGUAGUUGGUGGGGUAAAGGCCUACCAAGCCGACGAUCUGUAGCUGGUCUGAGAGGACGACCAGCCACACUGGGACUGAGCCACGGCCCAGACUCCUACGGGAGGCAGCAGUGGGGAAUUUUGGACAAUGGGCGCAAGCCUGAUCCAGCAAUGCCGCGUGCGGGAAGGAGGCCUUCGGGUUGUAAACCGCUUUUGUACGGAGCGAAAAGGCUCUGGCUAAUACCUGGGGCUGAUGACGGUACCGUAAGAAUAAGCACCGGCUAACUACGUG